UGGGGAAUAUUGCACAAUGGGCGCAAGCCUGAUGCAGCCAUGCCGCGUGUAUGAAGAAGGCCUUCGGGUUGUAAAGUACUUUCAGCGGGGAGGAAGGUGUUGAGGUUAAUAACCUCAGCAAUUGACGUUACCCGCAGAAGAAGCACCGGCUAACUCCGUGCCAGCAGCCGCGGUAAUACGGAGGGUGCAAGCGUUAAUCGGAAUUACUGGGCGUAAAGCGCACGCAGGCGGUCUGUCAAGUCGGAUGUGAAAUCCCCGGGCUCAACCUGGGAACUGCAUUCGAAACUGGCAGGCUAGAGUCUUGUAGAGGGGGGUAGAAUUCCAGGUGUAGCGGUGAAAUGCGUAGAGAUGUGGAGGAAUACCGGUGGCGAAGGCGGCCCCCUGGACAAAGACUGACGCUGAGGUGCGAAAGCGUGGGGAGCAAACA
RNAcentral lists this ribosomal RNA (427 nucleotides) under uncultured bacterium. Its description in RNAcentral is "partial 16S ribosomal RNA". It matches the Rfam family "Bacterial small subunit ribosomal RNA", at positions 355 to 774 of the family's 1533-position model. The record is from RNAcentral.